This is a long non-coding RNA of Sander lucioperca (pikeperch), 107 nucleotides long. RefSeq lists it as uncharacterized. The record is from RefSeq and is a predicted model, not a curated record. The transcript is spliced from 4 exons. NCBI's taxonomy places the organism in Eukaryota, Metazoa, Chordata, Actinopteri, Perciformes, Percidae.
GGGAUCUUUAACAGGGGGUCCUGGGCCCCUAGGGGGUCCUCAGAGUCAAUGCAGGGGUGCCUCCAAAUUAGUUAAUUUUUAAAAUUUAAAAAAAAUAAAUGUAAAAG